Molecule: ribosomal RNA, 253 nt
Filed under: uncultured bacterium
Lineage: Bacteria
Description: partial 16S ribosomal RNA
Rfam family: Bacterial small subunit ribosomal RNA
Source: RNAcentral
UACAGAGGUCUCAAGCGUUGUUCGGAAUCACUGGGCGUAAAGGGUGCGUAGGCCGCACGGAAAGUCAGAGGUGAAAUCCCGGAGCUCAACUCCGGAAUUGCCUCCGAUACUCCCGUGCUUGAGGACUGGAGAGGAGUCUGGAAUUCACAGUGGAGCAGUGAAAUGCGUAGAUAUUGUGAGGAACACUAGUGGCGAAGGCGGCGACCUGGGUAGAUACUGACGCUGAGGCGCGAAAGCGUGGGGAGCAAACAGG